RNAcentral lists this ribosomal RNA (497 nucleotides) under uncultured bacterium. Its description in RNAcentral is "partial 16S ribosomal RNA". It matches the Rfam family "Bacterial small subunit ribosomal RNA", at positions 28 to 507 of the family's 1533-position model. The record is from RNAcentral.
GAUGAACGCUGGCGGCGUGCCUAAUACAUGCAAGUCGAGCGAACGGACGAGAAGCUUGCUUUUCUGACGUUAGCGGCGGACGGGUGAGUAACACGUGGAUAACCUACCUAUAAGACUGGGAUAACUUCGGGAAACCGGAGCUAAUACCGGAUAAUAUUUUGAACCGCAUGGUUCAAAAGUGAAAGACGGUCUUGCUGUCACUUAUAGAUGGAUCCGCGCUGCAUUAGCUAGUUGGUAAGGUAACGGCUUACCAAGGCAACGAUGCAUAGCCGACCUGAGAGGGUGAUCGGCCACACUGGAACUGAGACACGGUCCAGACUCCUACGGGAGGCAGCAGUAGGGAAUCUUCCGCAAUGGGCGAAAGCCUGACGGAGCAACGCCGCGUGAGUGAUGAAGGUCUUCGGAUCGUAAAACUCUGUUAUUAGGGAAGAACAAAUGUGUAAGUAACUGUGCACAUCUUGACGGUACCUAAUCAGAAAGCCACGGCUAACUACGUG